GAAUAUUGGACAAUGGGCGCAAGCCUGAUCCAGCCAUGCCGCGUGUGUGAAGAAGGCCUUUUGGUUGUAAAGCACUUUAAGCGAGGAGGAGGCUACUUGGAUUAAUACUCUAGGAUAGUGGACGUUACUCGCAGAAUAAGCACCGGCUAACUCUGUGCCAGCAGCCGCGGUAAUACAGAGGGUGCGAGCGUUAAUCGGAUUUACUGGGCGUAAAGCGUGCGUAGGCGGCUUUUUAAGUCGGAUGUGAAAUCCCUGAGCUUAACUUAGGAAUUGCAUUCGAUACUGGGAAGCUAGAGUAUGGGAGAGGAUGGUAGAAUUCCAGGUGUAGCGGUGAAAUGCGUAGAGAUCUGGAGGAAUACCGAUGGCGAAGGCAGCCAUCUGGCCUAAUACUGACGCUGAGGUACGAAAGCAUGGGGAGCAAACAG
Molecule: ribosomal RNA, 425 nt
Filed under: uncultured bacterium
Lineage: Bacteria
Description: bacterial SSU rRNA
Rfam family: Bacterial small subunit ribosomal RNA
Source: RNAcentral